Molecule: ribosomal RNA, 500 nt
Filed under: uncultured bacterium
Lineage: Bacteria
Description: partial 16S ribosomal RNA
Rfam family: Bacterial small subunit ribosomal RNA
Source: RNAcentral
AUUGAACGCUGGCGGCAUGCCUUACACAUGCAAGUCGAACGGCAGCACGGGAGCAAUCCUGGUGGCGAGUGGCGAACGGGUGAGUAAAGUAUCGGAACGUGCCCAGUCGUGGGGGAUAACGUAGCGAAAGUUACGCUAAUACCGCACACGAUCUAUGGAUGAAAGCGGGGGAUCGCAAGACCUCGCGCGAUUGGAGAGGCCGAUAUCAGAUUAGGUAGUUGGUGGGGUAAAGGCUCACCAAGGCGACGAUCUGUAGCUGGGCUGAGAGGACGACCAGCCACAAUGGGACAGAGCAACAGCCCUGACUCCUGCGGGAGGCCGCAGUGGGUAAUCUUGGACGACGGGCGAGGGGCUGAUCUUGUCAUGCCGCGUGCAGGAUGACGGCCUGCGGGUUGUACAAGGCUUUUGUACGGAACGAAAAGGUUUGGCCUAAUAAGCUGAGCUCAUGACGGUACCGUAAGAAUAAGCACCGGCUAACUACGUGCCAGCCGCCGCAGUAA